ACUCAAUCAAAAUCUUCAAGCCUCCACCUUGAAUCAACAAAUUAACCAAACUCAGAACAAUCACCACCUUCAGUCACCAUCUCUUGUUCAUCAUAACUUUCAGUCUUCUCAAUCCACUGCCUUGCAGAAUCAGAAAUUGCAAGCUCCACUUCAACAGCAGCAAUACAUAUUGCAGCAGAAGCAGCAACAACAACAAAAAUGUCAGAUUCCAACUCAGAUACCACCACAAGUCAAUCAGCAAUUUGAUCUACCUGAGCAACAUAUUCACUUCCAAAUACUUCAGAAAAUUCAGCAGCAACAGAAGCAACAACAAUCACUGAUUAUUCAAACACCUCCUCAGCACAGAGUUCAUGAGAAUCAACAUAAAACCAUUCUGGAGAAUCCAGAAGUA
RNAcentral lists this long non-coding RNA (391 nucleotides) under Zostera marina. RNAcentral describes it as "long non-coding RNA (ZMAR_LNC000884)". The record is from RNAcentral. Lineage: Eukaryota; Viridiplantae; Streptophyta; Magnoliopsida; Alismatales; Zosteraceae.